CCAGAUUCUAGCUACAUUGGAGACUGAUUGCUUUCUAAAAUUAAGGAGAAGUCAAAGAAGGCAUGGUGAAUUUUCUUUGAGUUACAACUAACAAAAUAAAAGAGAGUUCAAGUGGAUAACCUUGAGGACUCGAAAAGCUGAGAUAUGAUGGUUUGGAAGUCACUCCACAUCUGAAGCCUUGAUGUAAAUGACAGCUUUAAAAGAGCCUCUCAGGAACCAAUUUCAGAGAAGUCUAAUCCCUGUUGAAAAUAUGGAGCCCACCAGCAGCAAGCAGACCAGAUACACUGGAGGAUACCUGGACCUCACAGUCACUGUCACCUAGUAGGAGCCCUCCAAGGAAUCUCCAGAAAUGGCUUGCCUUCACAGACUUUAUAAACAUUCUUGAAUAACUGGACAGAGUUUCUUAAUGUAAAUUUGCUUGUUCUUUAGAUGGCUUAGGUUUAAGUAGCCAGAAAGUAUCAAAGAGAACAUGUUGCACACACCUGUACACAUACUUGUUGAGGACCUUGGCACACGAGAAAAUGUUCUAGAACUAACCAGAGUCUUGACCUCUGAGUAGGCAUGGCCCUAGGCAGAAGAAUAGUAUUGCUUGGGUAUGUGCAGGUCCCACUCUGUACUCUUACUUUAGAAUUGGGCAAAAGAAUUGACUAAUAUGUUAUUUAAAUUUAAAAAUAAAACCUAUUGGGACCAGCAGUUGGUGUAAUGA
This is a long non-coding RNA of Tupaia belangeri chinensis (Chinese tree shrew), 706 nucleotides long. RefSeq lists it as uncharacterized. The transcript is spliced from 3 exons. NCBI's taxonomy places the organism in Eukaryota, Metazoa, Chordata, Mammalia, Scandentia, Tupaiidae. The record is from RefSeq and is a predicted model, not a curated record.